GGGUGCUUAGCUCAGCUGGUAGAGCGGCGCCCUUACAAGGCGUAGGUCGGGAGUUCGAACCUCUCAGCACCCACCA
RNAcentral lists this transfer RNA (76 nucleotides) under Lautropia sp. SCN 69-89. RNAcentral describes it as "tRNA-Val". It matches the Rfam family "tRNA". From Rfam's summary of the family: Transfer RNA (tRNA) molecules are approximately 80 nucleotides in length. RNAcentral also lists the same sequence under 9 other names. The record is from RNAcentral. Lineage: Bacteria; Pseudomonadati; Pseudomonadota; Betaproteobacteria; Burkholderiales; Burkholderiaceae.